ACCCUUGUGGAGGAGGACGCCGAAGGUGGGGCUAAUGACUGGGGUGAAGUCGUAACAAGGUAGCCGUACCGGAAGGUGCGGCUGGAUCACCUCCUAACAGGGAGACAACAAAAUGUUUAAUAUUAUUAUUUUGUCACCUUAGGUCGAUCGGUAUCUCACGUUCUUAAUUUAUUAAGAAUUUCAUUUCCUAAGUUUUUCUAGGUCACACCCAUUAUUUUUCCUGGGCCAUUAGCUCAGGUGGUUAGAGCGCACCCCUGAUAAGGGUGAGGUCCCUGGUUCAAGUCCAGGAUGGCCCAUAUCUCUAUGUUGGGGGUAUAGCUCAGUUGGUAGAGCGCCUGCUUUGCAAGCAGGAUGUCAGCGGUUCGAGUCCGCUUACCUCCACUGAUUACCACCUCUUCCAUAACCGGUAGAAAGGAAAUGUUUUGAGUUGUGAUUAUUAUUCUGAACGAAUCUAGCUUCCUAAUGAAAUCAUUAAGAUGCUGGACUCAUUGAAUUAAUUUCAUUGUUUUCAGAGAACCUUGACAACUGCAUAGAUUAUUUUUAAAGACAAUAAGCAUCUUUAAUGAUGCAGAUUUAUUAUUUGUGCGAAUGCAUUAAUAACAAUUCUAUUGAGCUGAUGCUUCAAUUUUUGAAGUUAUUGGUCAAGCUACAAAGGGCUCACGGAGGAUACCUAGGCACACAGA
This 683-nucleotide unclassified non-coding RNA is filed under the name uncultured Prochlorococcus sp. RNAcentral's name for it is "partial may contain 16S ribosomal RNA, 16S-23S ribosomal RNA intergenic spacer, and 23S ribosomal RNA". The stretch from base 1 to 97 matches the Rfam family "Bacterial small subunit ribosomal RNA", at positions 1437 to 1533 of the family's 1533-position model. The record is from RNAcentral. Lineage: Bacteria; Bacillati; Cyanobacteriota; Cyanophyceae; Synechococcales; Prochlorococcaceae.